UGGAUGUCUGUGAGGGUCAGGUGCAACUGC
This 30-nucleotide non-coding RNA is filed under the name Mus musculus (house mouse). Lineage: Eukaryota; Metazoa; Chordata; Mammalia; Rodentia; Muridae. The record is from RNAcentral.